GAGACCAACCACGAACUGCUAAUUCGUAAAACUGAGAUUGAAUCCUCAGACCUCUC
RNAcentral lists this transfer RNA (56 nucleotides) under Agama armata. RNAcentral's name for it is "tRNA-Ser". The record is from RNAcentral. Lineage: Eukaryota; Metazoa; Chordata; Lepidosauria; Squamata; Agamidae.